AACAACUAAUGAUUAUUUACUUUUUUACCUACAUUAUUUGAUGGUUCUGUGAUAAUACAAAAUGUAUGAAGUUCAU
Small nucleolar RNA from Vanessa tameamea, 76 nucleotides. RefSeq annotates it as small nucleolar RNA SNORD34. NCBI's taxonomy places the organism in Eukaryota, Metazoa, Arthropoda, Insecta, Lepidoptera, Nymphalidae. The record is from RefSeq and is a predicted model, not a curated record. The transcript has a single exon.